UACGGAGGAUGCGAGCGUUAUCCGGAUUUAUUGGGUUUAAAGGGUGCGCAGGCGGCACGGCAAGCCGGCGGUCAAAUCGCGGGGCUCAACCCCGCCCAGCCGUCGGAACUGCCGGGCUAGAGUGGGCGAGAAGUGCGCGGAAUGCGUGGUGUAGCGGUGAAAUGCAUAGAUAUCACGCAGAACUCCGAUUGCGAAGGCAGCGCACCGGCGCCCUACUGACGCUCAGGCACGAAAGCGCGGGUAUCGAACAGG
This 252-nucleotide ribosomal RNA is filed under the name uncultured bacterium. RNAcentral's name for it is "partial 16S ribosomal RNA". It matches the Rfam family "Bacterial small subunit ribosomal RNA", at positions 524 to 776 of the family's 1533-position model. The record is from RNAcentral.